CUCAGAAUCAACGCUGGCGGCGUGCCUCAGACAUGCAAGUCGAACGAUUAAAGCUCUCUUCGGAGAGUGUAUAGAGUGGCGCACGGGUGAGUAACACGUAAGUAAUCUACCCUCGAGUGGGGAAUAACAACCGGAAACGGUUGCUAAUACCGCAUAAUGCAGCGGCACCGCAAGGUGACAGUUGUUAAAGAUUUAUCGCUUGAGGAGGAGCUUGCGGCAGAUUAGCUAGUUGGUAGGGUAACGGGCUUACCAAGGCUACGAUCUGUAACCGGUCUAAGAGGACGGUCGGUCACACUGACACUGAAUAACGGGUCAGACUCCUACGGGAGGCAGCAGUCGGGAAUUUUGGGCAAUGGGCGAAAGCCUGACCCAGCAACGCCGCGUGAAGGAUGAAGUAUUUCGGUAUGUAAACUUCGAAAGAAUAGGAAGAAUUAAUGACGGUACUAUUUAUAAGGUCCGGCUAACUACGUG
RNAcentral lists this ribosomal RNA (471 nucleotides) under uncultured bacterium. RNAcentral describes it as "bacterial SSU rRNA". It matches the Rfam family "Bacterial small subunit ribosomal RNA", at positions 23 to 507 of the family's 1533-position model. The record is from RNAcentral.